GUUUUUUAUCAUUGAUAUGUUGAAAGAACGAGUCGUCAAGACCCACGGUGUGGUCUCCAUGGAAAUGGCUGAGAAAGAAAGCAGUACUGGAGAAAUGACAAUUGGAGAGACGAUUAACCUUCGUCUUCGUUCACGUUCGAUUUUUCUCUCACACUGAUGUGAAUAAAUUCAAUGUUGUGUUGGUGCCAACUAAGCUAUGAUACAAGCAGGUAUAGUCAAGCCAAAAACAGGGGACAAGUUCUCUCAGGCGGCACGAGACGGCGCGGCGGUCACUAUCACCUUCCCCUCAUCGCCAUGUCAUCCCCACUUUGCAGCUGUUCGGCACUGGUGGGACUAUUUAAAAAAUGAAAAUUUAAAAUAGCAGGAAAAAAUGUAAAAUAUGGCCUUGGUUUAUGGGAUGUAUGGUAUCUACAUGACCUCAAAGUUUCAAAAAUAGAAUAAACUAUAGAAGCAUUACCCAGUCUCCAAAAA
Fopius arisanus is the source of this 471-nucleotide long non-coding RNA. RefSeq lists it as uncharacterized. The transcript is spliced from 2 exons. The record is from RefSeq and is a predicted model, not a curated record. Lineage: Eukaryota; Metazoa; Arthropoda; Insecta; Hymenoptera; Braconidae.